RNAcentral lists this ribosomal RNA (192 nucleotides) under uncultured bacterium. RNAcentral describes it as "partial 16S ribosomal RNA". It matches the Rfam family "Bacterial small subunit ribosomal RNA", at positions 307 to 500 of the family's 1533-position model. The record is from RNAcentral.
CCUGGAGCCUUUGGCCACGUGGGUACUCUACGGAAGGCAGCAGUAGGGAAUCUUCCGCAAUGGACGAAAGUCUGACGGAGCAACGCCGCGUGAGCGAAAAAGGCUUCGGGUCGUAAAGCUCUGUUGUUAGGGAAGAACAAGUACCAGAGUAACUCGCUCGACUUGACGGUCCUAACCAGAAACCACGGCUAC